Molecule: long non-coding RNA, 1142 nt
Organism: Aegilops tauschii subsp. strangulata
Lineage: Eukaryota; Viridiplantae; Streptophyta; Magnoliopsida; Poales; Poaceae
Source: RefSeq, a predicted model, not a curated record
UGGAUGCUCUCGCCCUAAAGAAAAGGCUAUAUUUGCCUCAGGAAAAAAAAGGCUAUAUGGAUGCUCUGAAAGCUGUAGCUUCCCCCAGCAACCCCAAGCCGUUGCAGUAGUGGCGUGGUGGGGUUCAUCGGCGAACAUCCCCCAACGGCGCUCAUGCCAUGUUCAACCCCGUCUCCGGCGAUUGGCUCCUCGCCCACCUCAGCCGCGUGGUCCUCGACGACGACGCCCUCGCGCUCCUGCUCCUCCGCCUCGACAAGACUCUCUCCAGCCUCUCACUCCACCUCCUCGCACACUCCUGCAGCAAAUGAAAAAUUCUCAUGCGUCAACAACAUGCCAGAAAGAUCGAGGCUGUCCAUAUGUGUGAGGGCAUGCAGUUGCCACUUUGAGGUGGCAGUUUUCUGCUAUAAAUUGCAGCUGAAGCAUGGAAUGUCUUACCAGUGGAUGGUAACGUUGUGAGGUGAAUGAUUGACGACCUUGACAAGAACGUCAUCGCCUUCUCUUGCAUAGAGGGUCGGCCCCGGGAACUUGCCGUUAACAGUGAGGAUGGACUUGGUUGAGCAAAGCAGUGUCAUGUUCCUCAUAACCACCUGCACGAGUGAAACCAUGGUAAAUCAUCACGGCAGCCUGAGUUCUGUAGCCGCCUCACGGUGUAAGGUGUCGGGUGAUGGCAUGGACGCUGAGAGCCUGAAGCAGGAAGCAGCUGGCCAUGAGGCGGAGGAGCAGCUGAUCAAGACGGCGAGGCAUGGCCAUGCUGCCUGACACUGGCAGAGCCACUUGAUCGGAGGAGACAAGGACGAACGACGAUUCCUGUGAGCCGAGACGGUGCAGUAUUCCUGGUUGCAUGGAAUGACAGGGCGACGCAUGGUUUUAAUGGCCCAGGGAGGGGGCUGGGGCGGUGUUGGGUUUCUAGCUGCCAUGUCGUUUUUCAUUUUAGGUGAGAAACCCUUGCUUGGCAAGGCUGGCUAGCUGUGCUGGGAAUUGUGCGGAUUGCAGGUAAUUUCUUCUUGUGUUUUCACCUGCAGAUAUGCAAAGGUAGCUCCCAGUUGCACCGAGCUAACUCUUUUUACAUACAAAUUAGGUAAUAAUGUAGCCAUCUGCAGGACUUGCAGUGCAUCUACCUUUAUCGAUUUGGAGUUUGGUUC